GUGGGCGCGAUCCAAAGGCAACAGGGAUGAGAAGAGGCCCCGACGAGUUUCCCAGCCUCUUCCUGUCUCCUAGGAGGUCUUCAGCCUCAAGGCUGGGCUUAGAGACCCCCCUUAGGCAGCAGAGGCUAUACCAGCAGAGGCCGGGAACAGCCGGGCAUGCGCCAUUGAUCCUGAGGGUGCAGGAGAAGAGCCUGGAAGGGGCUGUCAGAGGUGGGCACGGGCAUCUGGGCUUUGGAGAGGCCAGCGGUGGGCGAGGGCGAGGGCAAGGGCAGGGCAGCAGGAACCAGGAACAGCAAGCAUUGACUGGUGCUAAUUGAAUUGCCAAUACGCUGGCUGGAGUUAAGUGCUGGAGGGGCCCAGAUCAAUAGCUAACGAUCCUGGCGCAAGGCUGAAUGGAGUUAAGGAACUUUUAACACUUUAAUUAGGCUGCCACCGAAAAUAAAUUCCUACACAUCUGUCAA
This 461-nucleotide long non-coding RNA is filed under the name Rattus norvegicus (Norway rat). RNAcentral describes it as "long non-coding RNA NONRATT010881". The record is from RNAcentral. Lineage: Eukaryota; Metazoa; Chordata; Mammalia; Rodentia; Muridae.